AUUGAACGCUGGCGGUAUGCUUAACACAUGCAAGUCGAACGGAAACGAAACUAGCUUGCUAGUUGGCGUCGAGUGGCGGACGGGUGAGUAACGCGUAGGAAUCUACCUAGUAGUGGGGGAUAGCCCGAAGAAAUUCGGAUUAAUACCGCAUAAUCUAUUCGUAGUAAAGUGGGGGACUUUCGAGCCUCACGCUAUUAGAUGAGCCUGCGUAAGAUUAGCUUGUUGGUAGGGUAAAAGCCUACCAAGGCUACGAUCUUUAGCUGGUCUGAGAGGAUGAUCAGCCACAUCGGGACUGAGACACGGCCCGAACUCCUACGGGAGGCAGCAGUGGGGAAUAUUGGACAAUGGGGGCAACCCUGAUCCAGCAAUACCGCGUGUGUGAAGAAGGCCUGAGGGUUGUAAAGCACUUUCAAUUGUGAAGAAAAGUUAGCGGUUAAUAACCGUUAGCCUUGACGUUAACUUUAGAAGAAGCACCGGCUAACUCCGUGCC
This 490-nucleotide ribosomal RNA is filed under the name uncultured Gammaproteobacteria bacterium. RNAcentral describes it as "bacterial SSU rRNA". It matches the Rfam family "Bacterial small subunit ribosomal RNA", at positions 30 to 509 of the family's 1533-position model. The record is from RNAcentral. Lineage: Bacteria; Pseudomonadati; Pseudomonadota; Gammaproteobacteria.